CCUCCUCCUUGGGGAUUCCCUUGGGAAAACCGGGGAUUAAUCCGGGAUGAAACCUAAAUAUUGCCUUCCUUUAAUGUCAAAAGGAUUUUUUCGGUUUAUGGUGAGCUUGCGUUGGAUUAGCUAGUUGGUGAGAAUAAAAAGCUCACCAAGGCCCAUGAUCAGUAGCCGGCCUGAGAGGGGGAACGGCCUCAUUGGGACUGAGACACGGCCCAAACUCCUACGGGAGGCAGCAGUGGGGAAAUAUUGCACAAUGGGGGGAAACCCUGAUGCAGCGACGCCGCGUGAGCGAAGAAGGGAUUCGUCUCGUAAAGCUCUGUCCUAUGGGAAGAUAAUGACGGUACCAUAGAAGAAAGCCCCGGCUAACUACGUGCCAGCAGCCGCGGUAAUACGUAGGGGGCGAGCGUUGUCCGGAAUCAUUGGGCGUAAAGGGUUCGUAGGCGGUAAUGCGUGUCAGAUGUGAAAUCUUGUGGCUUAACCACAUUAAGCAUCUGAAACUGCAUAACUUGAGUGAAGGAGAGGUAAGUGGAAUUCCUAGUGUAGCGGUGAAAUGCGUAGAUAUUAGGAGGAACACCAGUAGCGAAGGCGACUUUCUGGACUGUAACUGACACUGAGGCACGAAAGCGUGGGUAGCAAACAGGAUUAGAUACCCUGGUAGUCCACGCCGUAAACGAUGAAUGAAAGGUGUCGGCCCUUACGGGGGUCGGUGCCGAAGUUAACGCAUUAAGCA
Molecule: ribosomal RNA, 727 nt
Filed under: uncultured bacterium
Lineage: Bacteria
Description: bacterial SSU rRNA
Rfam family: Bacterial small subunit ribosomal RNA
Source: RNAcentral